RNAcentral lists this ribosomal RNA (390 nucleotides) under uncultured bacterium. RNAcentral's name for it is "bacterial SSU rRNA". It matches the Rfam family "Bacterial small subunit ribosomal RNA", at positions 28 to 419 of the family's 1533-position model. The record is from RNAcentral.
AUUGAACGCUGGCGGCAUGCUUUACACAUGCAAGUCGAACGGCAGCGGGGGCUUCGGCCUGCCGGCGAGUGGCGAACGGGUGAGUAAUGCAUCGGAACGUGCCCAGUCAUGGGGGAUAACUACGCGAAAGCGUAGCUAAUACCGCAUACGCCCUGAGGGGGAAAGCGGGGGAUCGCAAGACCUCGCGUGAUUGGAGCGGCCGAUGUCGGAUUAGCUAGUUGGUGGGGUAAAGGCCUACCAAGGCGACGAUCCGUAGCGGGUCUGAGAGGAUGAUCCGCCACACUGGGACUGAGACACGGCCCAGACUCCUACGGGAGGCAGCAGUGGGGAAUUUUGGACAAUGGGGGGCAACCCUGAUCCAGCCAUGCCGCGUGAGUGAAGGAGGCCUUC